CUGAAAUACGUAUACUUUUUGUUUCAUUGUGCCCC
This 35-nucleotide small RNA is filed under the name Bombyx mori (domestic silkworm). Its description in RNAcentral is "ovarian small RNA-14762". Lineage: Eukaryota; Metazoa; Arthropoda; Insecta; Lepidoptera; Bombycidae. The record is from RNAcentral.